GCUCCGGUGGUGUAGUCCGGUCAAUAUCGCCGAAAGCAUCUCGGCCUUUCGAGCCGAGGACCCGGGUUCGAAUCCCGGCCGGAGCA
This 86-nucleotide transfer RNA is filed under the name archaeon. Its description in RNAcentral is "tRNA-Glu". It matches the Rfam family "tRNA". Rfam says of the family: Transfer RNA (tRNA) molecules are approximately 80 nucleotides in length. Their secondary structure includes four short double-helical elements and three loops (D, anti-codon, and T loops). Further hydrogen bonds mediate the characteristic L-shaped molecular structure. tRNAs have two regions of fundamental functional importance: the anti-codon, which is responsible for specific mRNA codon recognition, and the 3' end, to which the tRNAs corresponding amino acid is attached (by aminoacyl-tRNA synthetases). tRNAs cope with the degeneracy of the genetic code in two manners: having more than one tRNA (with a specific anti-codon) for a particular amino acid; and 'wobble' base-pairing, i.e. permitting non-standard base-pairing at the 3rd anti-codon position. RNAcentral also lists the same sequence under 2 other names. The record is from RNAcentral.